AAAGGUGUGCUAAUACCGCAUAAUCUCUCAGGAGAAAAGCAGGGGAUCGUAAGACCUUGCGCUUUAGGAGCGGCCGAUGCCUGAUUAGCUAGUUGGUAAGGUAAAGGCUUACCAAGGCUUCGAUCAGUAGCUGGUCUGAGAGGACGACCAGCCACACUGGGACUGAGACACGGCCCAGACUCCUACGGGAGGCAGCAGUGGGGAAUUUUGGACAAUGGGGGAAACCCUGAUCCAGCCAUGCCGCGUGAGUGAAGAAGGCCUUCGGGUUGUAAAGCUCUUUCAGCCGGAACGAAACGGAUACGAUUAAUACUCGUAAUUAAUGACGGUACCGGCAGAAGAAGCACCGGCUAACUACGUGCCAGCAGCCGCGGUAAUACGUAGGGUGCGAGCGUUAAUCGGAAUUACUGGGCGUAAAGGGUCCGCAGGUUGUUUUGUAAGUCAGAUGUGAAAGCCCCGGGCUUAACCUGGGAACUGCGUCUGAAACUACAAGGCUAGAGUAUGGCAGAGGGGGGUGGAAUUCCGCGUGUAGCAGUGAAAUGCGUAGAUAUGUGGAGGAACACCGAUGGCGAAGGCAGCCCCCUGGGUCAAUACUGACGCUGAGGGACGAAAGCAUGGGGAGCAAACAGGAUUAGAUACCCUGGUAGUCCAUGCCCUAAACGAUGUCAACUAGUUGUCGGGCCUUUACGGGCUUGGUAACGUAGCUAACGCGUGAAGUUGACCGCCUGGGGAGUACGAUCGCAAGAUUAAAACUCAAAUGAAUUGACGGGGACCCGCACAAGCGGUGGAUUAUGUGGAUUAAUUCGAUGCAACGCGAAAAACCUUACCUACCCUUGACAUGUAUCGAAGCCCGCAGAAAAGCGGAGGUGCCCGAAAGGGAACGAUAACACAGGUGCUGCAUGGCUGUCGUCAGCUCGUGUCGUGAGAUGUUGGGUUAAGUCCCGCAACGAGCGCAACCCUUGUCAUUAAUUGCCAUCAUUUAGUUGGGCACUUUAAUGAGACUGCCGGUGACAAACCGGAGGAAGGUGGGGAUGACGUCAAGUCCUCAUGGCCCUUA
This 1054-nucleotide ribosomal RNA is filed under the name uncultured beta proteobacterium. RNAcentral describes it as "bacterial SSU rRNA". It matches the Rfam family "Bacterial small subunit ribosomal RNA", at positions 154 to 1204 of the family's 1533-position model. The record is from RNAcentral. Lineage: Bacteria; Pseudomonadati; Pseudomonadota; Betaproteobacteria.